AAAUUGAAGAGUUUGAUCAUGGCUCAGAUUGAACGCUGGCGGCAGGCCUAACACAUGCAAGUCGAACGGUAGCACAGAGAGCUUGCUCUCGGGUGACGAGUGGCGGACGGGUGAGUAAUGUCUGGGAAACUGCCUGAUGGAGGGGGAUAACUACUGGAAACGGUGGCUAAUACCGCAUAACGUCGCAAGACCAAAGAGGGGGACCUUCGGGCCUCUUGCCAUCAGAUGUGCCCAGAUGGGAUUAGCUGGUUGGUGAGGUAACGGCUCACCAAGGCGACGAUCCCUAGCUGGUCUGAGAGGAU
This 302-nucleotide ribosomal RNA is filed under the name Salmonella enterica subsp. enterica serovar Agona. RNAcentral describes it as "partial 16S ribosomal RNA". It matches the Rfam family "Bacterial small subunit ribosomal RNA", at positions 1 to 301 of the family's 1533-position model. Lineage: Bacteria; Pseudomonadati; Pseudomonadota; Gammaproteobacteria; Enterobacterales; Enterobacteriaceae. The record is from RNAcentral.